AUUGAACGCUGGCGGCAGGCUUAACACAUGCAAGUCGAGCGGGGUGAUGGUGCUUGCACUAUCACUUAGCGGCGGACGGGUGAGUAAUGCUUAGGAAUCUGCCUAUUAGUGGGGGACAACAUCUCGAAAGGGAUGCUAAUACCGCAUACGUCCUACGGGAGAAAGCAGGGGAUCACUUGUGACCUUGCGCUAAUAGAUGAGCCUAAGUCGGAUUAGCUAGUUGGUGGGGUAAAGGCCUACCAAGGCGACGAUCAGUAGCGGGUCUGAGAGGAUGAUCCGCCACACUGGGACUGAGACACGGCCCAGACUCCUACGGGAGGCAGCAGUGGGGAAUAUUGGACAAUGGGGGGAACCCUGAUCCAGCCAUGCCGCGUGUGUGAAGAAGGCCUUAUGGUUGUAAAGCACUUUAAGCGAGGAGGAGGCUCUUUUGGUUAAUACCCAAGACGAGUGGACGUUACUCGCAGAAUAAGCACCGGCUAACUCUGUGCCAGCAGCCGCGGUAA
This 503-nucleotide ribosomal RNA is filed under the name uncultured bacterium. Its description in RNAcentral is "partial 16S ribosomal RNA". It matches the Rfam family "Bacterial small subunit ribosomal RNA", at positions 30 to 523 of the family's 1533-position model. The record is from RNAcentral.